GACAGAGGGUGCAAACGUUGUUCGGAAUUACUGGGCGUAAAGCGCGUGUAGGCGGCUCUGCAAGUCAGGUGUGAAAUCCCACGGCUCAACCAUGGAAGUGCACUUGAAACUGCAGGGCUAGAGUCCUGGAGAGGAAGGUGGAAUGCUUGGUGUAGAGGUGAAAUUCGUAGAUAUCAAGCGGAACACCGGUGGCGAAGGCGGCCUUCUGGACAGUGACUGA
Molecule: ribosomal RNA, 220 nt
Filed under: uncultured bacterium
Lineage: Bacteria
Description: partial 16S ribosomal RNA
Rfam family: Bacterial small subunit ribosomal RNA
Source: RNAcentral